This is a non-coding RNA of Glycine soja, 120 nucleotides long. The record is from Rfam. NCBI's taxonomy places the organism in Eukaryota, Viridiplantae, Streptophyta, Magnoliopsida, Fabales, Fabaceae.
UAAACAAGUGAUGUUGACCGUCACGUGUCACGUUUUGAUUGAAUGUCAACUCCAUAAAAGAUUAAAUGUAUUGUUAUUUUCAUUGACCAAUCAGAACAUGACACGUGACAGUCAUAAUCC